This 72-nucleotide transfer RNA is filed under the name Capra hircus (goat). It matches the Rfam family "tRNA". From Rfam's summary of the family: Transfer RNA (tRNA) molecules are approximately 80 nucleotides in length. Their secondary structure includes four short double-helical elements and three loops (D, anti-codon, and T loops). The record is from Rfam by way of RNAcentral. RNAcentral also lists the same sequence under 1 other name. Lineage: Eukaryota; Metazoa; Chordata; Mammalia; Artiodactyla; Bovidae.
UCCCUGGUGGCUCAGACGGUAAAGUGUCUGCCUGCAAUGCGGGAGACCUGGGUUUGAUUCCUGGGUCGGGAA